Molecule: RNA transcript, 673 nt
Organism: Gossypium raimondii (Peruvian cotton)
Lineage: Eukaryota; Viridiplantae; Streptophyta; Magnoliopsida; Malvales; Malvaceae
Exons: 4
Source: RefSeq, a predicted model, not a curated record
GAAAUUCUGCAGAAGGUAUCAGGGGUUAUAAAAAAGUCUAUGCAAGGAGCUUAGGAAGUAGGGAAGUCUGCGACAAUAGAUAAUGGACUUGGGAUGCAUACUAUGUCAGAUAGUACACAAAGGAAAGGAAUCGCUGCAGUUCAAGGGUCUCAAACUAAGUUGCUACUGGAUUUUUUGAGCUUCUCUGCUUCUAGCUUUUCAUCUAUGGCCAGAUACUCAGUUGUGACUGAUAAGGUCUCAAUGGAGGUUGUUGAAGAAUUCAUUCUAGAACAGUUGAAUCUAACAAAAGGCACAAUAUCUGAAAUUAAGCACAUUCAUUUGACAGGAUAAUUUGGAAACCCUGUUGCAAGAGGACAUUCAGGCUGAUCUAGUCUGUUGCUUGCAGCAUUUGCAGUUAAGAUUUGAAACUGAAGACAAAGCAAGGAGACUUCUAAGUAAUGUGUCAUUUUUGUUGAAACCAGGGGGUUAUUUUUUUGGUAUUACUCCUGAAAAAGUGAUUGCCAAAAACUGUUGUUUCUGGAUUUGUGUAUUUUCCUCCUUUUUUUCUUGUGGUUACUGCUGCACCUGUUUUUGAGAGGUGAUUGUGUAAACAUUUUAGUGUGCUUUAGUUAUUGUAAGAAUAUUUUUAACAUUGUUAAUUUUAAUAUUAUUAUAAGAAUAUUUUAAAUUAUAA